RNAcentral lists this ribosomal RNA (253 nucleotides) under uncultured bacterium. RNAcentral describes it as "partial 16S ribosomal RNA". It matches the Rfam family "Bacterial small subunit ribosomal RNA", at positions 524 to 776 of the family's 1533-position model. The record is from RNAcentral.
UACGUAGGGUGCAAGCGUUGUCCGGAUUUAUUGGGCUUAAAGGGUGCGUAGGCGGCCCUGUAAGUCAGUGGUGAAAUACUCCAGCUUAACUGGAGGGGUGCCAUUGAUACUGCAGGGCUUGAGUUAAGUUGAAGUUGGCGGAAUUGACGGUGUAGCGGUGAAAUGCUUAGAUAUCGUCAAGAACACCGAUAGUGAAGACAGCUAACUAAACUUUUACUGACGCUGAGGCACGAAAGUGUGGGGAUCAAACAGG